Molecule: long non-coding RNA, 3011 nt
Filed under: Nothobranchius furzeri (turquoise killifish)
Lineage: Eukaryota; Metazoa; Chordata; Actinopteri; Cyprinodontiformes; Nothobranchiidae
Description: lncRNA (ENSNFUG00015020089.1)
Source: RNAcentral
AUGUACCAGAACCCGUGGCGGCUGCCUUUCGGCUGGAAGGACAACGAACUGGACGACGAUGAGCUGAGGUUGUUGGCGUGGAAGGAGGAGGAGGAAAUGGGACGGGAUCAGAUCAUUCUCAAGGUUCUUGAUAUUCCCUACGCUUUAUUCUGGACUCUGGAUUGUUGUGAUUACAAACAAGUGAUGCAUAAACUCCAGCUGUACCACACACUGUUGAGACGUGAAGUUCCACCGUGCAGAACCUUCAGUAAACUUCAGGGAAAUGAGAAGUUUCCUCUGCUUGGUGAGUCCUGCAGGAAGUUUAAAAGCAACUUUUAUUAUUAAGUAUUUCUGUUUGAAUAUUGCAUUAUCAAUGAGUCAACCCACUGACGACAAAUCUUCAAUUGUUUUCCAAUUUGAGUUCAGCUCCAUAUUUAUUGCUUUUAUUCUUCAUUAGAUUAAUAGUCUCCCAACAGAAGUGCAGUGUGACUUAAAUUUUACUAGAGAUGUGUGUUGGUGAAAGUCUGGUGAGAUGAUACGUAUCACGAUACAGGGGAGACGAUACGAUAUAUCGCGAUACAUUCAGCCAGACGAUAUUAAUGAUUUUUAAACUGAAUUUAUUGUAAGAAAAUUCAAUCAACAGUCCAAACUGAUACGUAUCGUUUAACAUGAGGUAUCUGAACCAUAAUAGAGGGAUUUAUGUUGGUAAAAACAAAACCCGUUGCACACUGCUGCCAACUAGCGGUCGGUGUUUGAAAUGCACAAAAAGAUAAGAAAAUACACAAAUGUUCGCAUGUAAAUUCUUCCAAAAAUUCAAUACAUGGCUUUCGAAUAAUAUCGUGGGAAAAAAUAUCGCGAUAUAUUACAAUCUUGAUAUUUUCUCACAUCUCUAAAUGUUACUGUCCUUGCUUCAUUCAGGCAAACCCUUCAUGGUGGCUCAUGCUCUGAAAAUCAAGGGGAACGAACCCAAGGUUGGAGUUCUGUGUUUGCUCUGUGAACGGAGGCUUUCCAGCGACGAAAUCCAAGCUCAUGUGUUCAGUCGGGAACACGUCACAAGAUUCCUGGUCAGCUUUUAUAAUUUUUUCCCACACCGUAAUCAUUUACCCCAACAAUGAUGAUGGUAGUAGUAGUAAUGCUAAUGGUCUUAGUACAGCCAAGGUGGUGCAUGUGUGUCUCUAAUGCUGGCGUGUAAAUAUGCUGUCCGAUGGAGGAUUUGGUUAGAAGUUUUUUGCUGCCAAAGGUUGAAAGACACCUUCGAUAGAUGAGUUGCUUGCUUUAGUUUAAAUUGAUCUGUGUCGUCAACGGUUUAGAUAUAAUUUAAAGGUGUGGAACACUGAAAAAUUAUUUUUACAUUAUUAUUUCUGAUUCUAAUGGGUCACGCAGAGUGUUUCAUGCAGGCUGAACAUGAAAACAGUCUCCUACACCUAUCUCCUUGUCAGGUUUAAACACCUAAGACACCAUAUAACAAACACAAGGAAAGAGAGACAAAGUCAGAGUUCUGUUUGAAGCUCGAGGAGAAUGGAAUAAGGUCCGACCAGCUCAGUCUCCACUGCGCCAGCAGAUCCUCCAAAACCAUUCUGCCUUCUGAUGCGAGCAUUCUCUAUUUAUUAAAAGCUGGGCGUUCCCUAGUUACAUGCCUGAGAGCUGAGCUGAAGGAUGGGAGGAAAACACAGCUCUCAGUUUCUCAGCAAUUGUUGAAACAUUUUCAUACAAGUUUCUAAUCACACAAAGAGCAUUCAGUUCUCUAAUCAUGCAAAGAGCAACAGGCAGUUGCACGAGUCAGCAGACGUGUCCUUGGGUCACGUUCUGUUCAACAAAGCACAACGCGUUUUAGUCUUCUCAUGAGACUUUAAACAAAACGGUAACUGUCAACAUAAAUAAUAAAAUCUUUAACCAUGAUAAAAGCAUAAAGCAUGAUAAAAGAAAACACUCAUUAUUAUUUUAACACUCCUGCAUUAGCUUCUGAUAGAAAACAGACGGUGAAACUCUAGGAUUAGAAAAUCCUGACAGAUCCACAUCACACUGUCACUUAAUAUUCGUGGACUCACCCAUCUUGAUUUGCAACGGGGAAAGCUGUUGUUGGUCCAGGAAACAGCAGAGAACCUCUCUGCUAGUAGAAGCUAGCGUCUCCAGCACAUGGCAGAACUCCUCCAGGCUUGUGUUGUUUGUGGAGAUAAAACAUCAACGUCGCAGAGAAAUCUGAGUCAGUGGUAGCGUCGCGUUGGUGGUGAGCUCGUUUUCCCCAGAGUAUGACUGACAUUCAUUUCUAGAGGCCACUGCAAAUUAGGCAUGUGUACUGGUGAAAUUCUGGCGAUACGAUACGUAUCGCGAUACAGGGGAGACGAUACAAUAUAUCACGUUAUCUUGCGAUACAUUCUGCCCGACGAUAUUGGUGAUUUUUUUUUUGACUGAAAUUAUUUUAGGAAAAUUGAAUUAACAGUCCAAACUGAUAAGUUUACUAAACCCUAACCCUGACCCUAAUCUCAAACUCCCAAUAGCAAAAUGCUAUUAUAGGAGAAUGGAGUCUCUACAGAGUCGUCUUGUAAUUCCCAGCUGUCUCUGCACAGCCUCUAAAGGUUGGUUUAUGCUUGACGCGUCUGCGAGGUCCGCACGGCUCCGCGCGGAAAAGUUGCGUCAUUUUGCAUCAUUUUAACAACCACGCCCCUCCUCCGCGUCUCCGCACGGCACAAAAUUUCCGCAACGCGCACCUCGGAAAAUUUCUAACCACGCGGACGGACGGACGGACGCGGAAAAACAUGGCGGACCGGCAAGAACUAGUACGGCAGAGGUUUGUAAAUACAGACAUUUGUGUGAUUCAGCUCUCAGAGAUCACCGUGAUCAACAUGUUGUUAAUAAUUCUUGGAGAGAAAUAGCUCGCACUGUCGGAAAAGACGAGGACGCUGUUAAAAAUGCUGGAAUGCCAUGUUGUAAACAGUAAUUUCUACUUCUACUAUGGUGUAGUGUUGGAUGCAUGCCGUAGAGCUCCAUGCUGCCCCCUACAGUUUGGGAGAAUAUUGGCUCACCGCAGAGAC